AGUCAUCCUACAUGUCACUACAAAGCCAUGCUGUCCUGCAGCAGGUGUCACUGUGUCAUUCUACUACUGCUGUUUGAAAUUAUAAAUAGUUUUUCACCAAUACAA
This is a long non-coding RNA of Electrophorus electricus (electric eel), 105 nucleotides long. RefSeq lists it as uncharacterized. The record is from RefSeq and is a predicted model, not a curated record. Lineage: Eukaryota; Metazoa; Chordata; Actinopteri; Gymnotiformes; Gymnotidae.